Molecule: ribosomal RNA, 464 nt
Filed under: uncultured bacterium
Lineage: Bacteria
Description: partial 16S ribosomal RNA
Rfam family: Bacterial small subunit ribosomal RNA
Source: RNAcentral
CUACGGGCGGCACCAGUGGGGAAUAUUGCACAAUGGGCGCAAGCCUGAUGCAGCCAUGCCGCGUGUAUGAAGAAGGCCUUCGGGUUGUUAAGUACUUUCAGCGGGGAGGAAGGGAGUAAAGUUAAUACCUUUGCUCAUUGACGUUACCCGCAGAAGAAGCACCGGCUAACUCCGUGCCAGCAGCCGCGGUAAUACGGAGGGUGCAAGCGUUAAUCGGGAUUACUGGGCGUAAAGCGCACGCAGGCGGUUUGUUAAGUCAGAUGUGAAAUCCCCGGGCUCAACCUGGGAACUGCAUCUGAUACUGGCAAGCUUGAGUCUCGUAGAGGGGGGUAGAAUUCCAGGUGUAGCGGUGAAAUGCGUAGAGAUCUGGAGGAAUACCGGUGGCGAAGGCGGCCCCCUGGACGAAGACUGACGCUCAGGUGCGAAAGCGUGGGGAGCAAACAGGAUUAGAUACCCCCGUAGUC